Molecule: ribosomal RNA, 413 nt
Filed under: uncultured microorganism
Description: bacterial SSU rRNA
Rfam family: Archaeal small subunit ribosomal RNA
Source: RNAcentral
GUGCAGCAGGCGCGAAACCUCCGCAAUACACGAAAGUGUGACGGGGCCAUCCCGAGUGCCGUCCGCUGAGGACGGCUUUUCCCCAGUGUACACAGCUGGGGGAAUAAGGAGAGGGCAAGCCUGGUGUCAGCCGCCGCGGUAAUACCAGCUCUCCGAGUGGUGGGGACGCUUAUUGGGCCUAAAGCAUCCGUAGCCGGCUGGGCAAGUCCUCCGUUAAAUCCAACGAUUCAAUCGUUGGGCUGCGGGGGAUACUGUCCAGCUUGGGGGCGGGAGAGGCCGACGGUAUUCCCGGGGUAGGGGUGAAAUCCUAUAAUCCCGGGAGGACCACCAGUGGCGAAGGCUGUCGGCUAGAACGCGCCCGACGGUGAGGGAUGAAAGCUGGGGGAGCGAACCGGAUUAGAUACCCCUGUAGU